Molecule: non-coding RNA, 305 nt
Organism: Struthio camelus australis
Lineage: Eukaryota; Metazoa; Chordata; Aves; Struthioniformes; Struthionidae
Source: RefSeq, a predicted model, not a curated record
AGCCUACCCUGGUGAAAAGAUAUAAUAGAGGUAUUUCUGAUGAUGAUUUAUGGAGUCAACCAGCAUCAUUCUAGAACAACUGACACUUUUCCAGCACAGGGCUAUACAGGUAGUGUGCCUGUUUACUGUAUAUCACAAUUUGUGACCCUUCUAUAACCUCACUUCUGCACUGAACACAAGCAAUGAACCCGUGACCUCUCAGAAGAAUGGUAUUUCAGACGUGACUCCCAAUGUUUCCUUGAGCUGCACUGUUAUUACAGAAAGAUCGUCCUUGGUAUAGCAGAUUUUUACUGAUUCAGCUACUC